Molecule: ribosomal RNA, 490 nt
Filed under: uncultured bacterium
Lineage: Bacteria
Description: partial 16S ribosomal RNA
Rfam family: Bacterial small subunit ribosomal RNA
Source: RNAcentral
AGUGAACGCUGGCGGUAGGCCUAACACAUGCAAGUCGAACGGCAGCACAGGAGAGCCUGCUCUCUGGGUGGCGAGUGGCGGACGGGUGGGGAAUACAUCGGAAUCUGCCCAGUCGUGGGGGAUAACGUAGGGAAACUUACGCUAAUACCGCAUACGACCUUCGGGUGAAAGAGGGGGAUCGCAAGACCUCUCGCGAUUGGAUGAGCCGAUGUCGGAUUAGCUAGUUGGCGGGGUAAUGGCCCACCAAGGCGACGAUCCGUAGCUGGUCUGAGAGGAUGAUCAGCCACACUGGAACUGAGACACGGUCCAGACUCCUACGGGAGGCAGCAGUGGGGAAUAUUGGACAAUGGGCGCAAGCCUGAUCCAGCCAUACCGCGUGGGUGAAGAAGGCCUUCGGGUUGUAAAGCCCUUUUGUUGGGAAAGAAAUCUUUCAGGCUAAUACCCUGGGAGGAUGACGGUACCCAAAGAAUAAGCACCGGCUAACUUCGUG